GACUACGCAAUUUUUCUCAUUUGAUUAUUGACUUCUGAAACUAAUAUUAAGAGCUCUGAUUUUCCUUAUCUUCAUCGAUCCUGCUUUUCACUUGAAAAAAUUCUUAAAGUCAUCCCUGUUACAUUUUCUCAAUCAAUUUUAAGUACAAAAUCAAAGAAAAAAAAAUUAGGGUUUUCUAUAAAUUUCUCUGAAUUUCUGAAUCUGAAGCAACAUGUGGAAUAAUAUAAAGUUUCACCGUUGUGAGAGAUGGCUAACAUCUUCAGUCUCUCAUCAAUCUUUGCACGUUUGCUUCUGUUAACGAUAGCCUUUGCUUUGUUUAUGCAGUUGAGUGUUGGUUCAGGUUAGUCUUCGUCGUGAAUCAUGAAAAUGCAUAGAAGAAUAUCAUCACGAUCACUUCCCCCACCUAUAUGCUGUUCAUUUUUUUGGACAAAUUUCCGUAUCAUAAAAACGUAGGAUUUUGAUCAUUCUGGAUAAACGUUUUGAACCGUUGACAUCAUCUUGUUGUUUUAAUUUGCAGAUCUGAAUAUGAGGAAACUGGGUGUAUUGCCAUCACCACCUCCGCCACCACGUCGAAACUCAGCACCAGGGCCUGCAAGAUAAAUUAGGGCUACCAUGACCAAGAAAAUUUUCAUGUUAUUCUUGUUCCAUAAAUAAAUAUUCCCUUAUUUUAGAUAUAAUUGCAAGAUAUAUAUUUUAUUUAUAUUUUCGACUUAAUAAAAGAUAUAUAUAAUUAUCUUCUUUAGCGUGACGAGAGAAAAUAAUUCCAUAUGAAAAAUUUUCCUUUCUGAUCCCAUGAUUCUCUUUAUGUGAUUGUUUAGGAUAACUAAUGGAUCUACUCACAAGUCUAAAGGCAAUUUUUUCUUCUCUAUUGUGGCAAAUAAAUCUACCAACAGUAUAUUUGAACAAGUUUCCAUCAACUGAACCUUCGUACUUACCAUUUUUAAUUUCACG
RNAcentral lists this long non-coding RNA (951 nucleotides) under Vigna radiata. Its description in RNAcentral is "long non-coding RNA (VRAD_LNC000216)". The record is from RNAcentral. Lineage: Eukaryota; Viridiplantae; Streptophyta; Magnoliopsida; Fabales; Fabaceae.